This 497-nucleotide ribosomal RNA is filed under the name uncultured bacterium. RNAcentral's name for it is "partial 16S ribosomal RNA". It matches the Rfam family "Bacterial small subunit ribosomal RNA", at positions 28 to 507 of the family's 1533-position model. The record is from RNAcentral.
GAUGAACGCUGGCGGCGUGCCUAAUACAUGCAAGUCGAGCGAACAGACGAGGAGCUUGCUCCUCUGACGUUAGCGGCGGACGGGUGAGUAACACGUGGAUAACCUACCUAUAAGACUGGGAUAACUUCGGGAAACCGGAGCUAAUACCGGAUAAUAUAUUGAACCGCAUGGUUCAAUAGUGAAAGACGGUUUUGCUGUCACUUAUAGAUGGAUCCGCGCCGCAUUAGCUAGUUGGUAAGGUAACGGCUUACCAAGGCAACGAUGCGUAGCCGACCUGAGAGGGUGAUCGGCCACACGGGAACUGAGACACGGUCCAGACGCCUACGGGAGGCAGCAGUAGGGAAUCUUCCGCAAUGGGCGAAAGCCUGACGGAGCAACGCCGCGUGAGUGAUGAAGGUCUUCGGAUCGUAAAACUCUGUUAUUGGGGAAGAACAAAUGUGUAAGUAACUAUGCACGGCUUGACGGUACCUAAUCAGAAAGCCACGGCUAACUACGUG